CAUAGCGACUAUCGUGGCAUAUCAAUAAGCGGAGGAAAAGAAACUAACUAGGAUUCCCUUAGUAACGGCGAGUGAAGCGGGAAGAGCUCAAAUUUGAAAUCUUCAAGGUUCUACCUUGACGAAUUGUAGUUUAUAGAAGUGUUUUCUGUUGGAGUUUUCGGUAAAAGUUCUUUGGAAUAGGACAUCAUAGAGGGUGAGAAUCCCGUAUUUGACCGUUAUUUCUCUAGCUGUGUGAUACACUUUCAAAGAGUCGGAUUGUUUGGGAAUGCAGUCCAAAAUGGGUGGUAAAUUUCAUCUAAAGCUAAAUAUUGGCGAGAGACCGAUAGCGAACAAGUACCGUGAGGGAAAGAUGAAAAGAACUUUGAAAAGAGAGUUAAACAGUACGUGAAAUUGUCAAAAGGGAAGCGUUUGACACCAGUGUUGUUUUUCCGAAAAUCAAUUAAAAAUUGAUUCAUGCCAGGUUGUAUUGACCUUAUCAGCUUGCAAUUUGGCUUUGGGUCUCUUUUUGAUGCACUUUUCGGUUAACAAGUCAACAUCAAUUUCCUUUGCUGUAAAAAGGUAAGAGGAAGGUGGCUUCAAUUUCGGUUGAAGUGUUUAUAGCCUUUUAUCUCUGCAGUCGGGGAGAUUGAGGUCUGCAGCGUAGAUCCUUCGGGGCUAGAUACAUUUAUGCUAAGUUAUAGCUUUUCAUAGACAACUUGUUGACUAUGUUUAGUCAUGUAGCUUACUCGUAAGUGCUAUUUUACCUACGCUUAGGAUGUUGAUAGUCACAGCGUGUAC
This 777-nucleotide ribosomal RNA is filed under the name uncultured Neocallimastigales. RNAcentral's name for it is "partial large subunit ribosomal RNA". It matches the Rfam family "Eukaryotic large subunit ribosomal RNA", at positions 22 to 644 of the family's 3401-position model. The record is from RNAcentral. Lineage: Eukaryota; Fungi; Neocallimastigomycota; Neocallimastigomycetes; Neocallimastigales.